GAUGAACGCUGGCGGCGUGCCUAAUACAUGCCAGUCGAGCGAACAGACGAGGAGCUUGCUCCUCUGACGUUAGCGGCGGACGGGUGAGUAACACGUGGAUAACCUACCUAUAAGACUGGGAUAACUUCGGGAAACCGGAGCUAAUACCGGAUAAUAUAUUGAACCGCAUGGUUCAAUAGUGAAAGACGGUUUUGCUGUCACUUAUAGAUGGAUCCGCGCCGCAUUAGCUAGUUGGUAAGGUAACGGCUUACCAAGGCGACGAUGCGUAGCCGACCUGAGAGGGUGAUCAGCCACACUGGAACUGAGACACGGUCCAGACUCCUACGGGAGGCAGCAGUAGGGAAUCUUCCACAAUGGGCGAAAGCCUGACGGAGCAACGCCGCGUGAGUGAUGAAGGUCUUCGGAUCGUAAAACUCUGUUAUUAGGGAAGAACAAAUGUGUAAGUAACUAUGCACGUCUUGACGGUACCUAAUCAGAAAGCCACGGCUAACUACGUG
This 497-nucleotide ribosomal RNA is filed under the name uncultured bacterium. Its description in RNAcentral is "partial 16S ribosomal RNA". It matches the Rfam family "Bacterial small subunit ribosomal RNA", at positions 28 to 507 of the family's 1533-position model. The record is from RNAcentral.